Molecule: ribosomal RNA, 802 nt
Filed under: Pontibacter sp. sm2-8
Lineage: Bacteria; Pseudomonadati; Bacteroidota; Cytophagia; Cytophagales; Hymenobacteraceae
Also listed under: 1 other name
Description: bacterial SSU rRNA
Rfam family: Bacterial small subunit ribosomal RNA
Source: RNAcentral
UGCAAGUCGAACGGAUCCAGGGACUUCGGUUCCUGGGUUAGUGGCGCACGGGUGCGUAACGCGUAUGCAACCUACCUUCCACAGGGGGAUAGCCCGGGGAAACCCGGAUUAAUACCGCAUGACAUCGUUUGAGGGCAUCCGAAGACGAUCAAAGCUGAGGCGGUGGAAGAUGGGCAUGCGUGCCAUUAGCUAGUUGGCGGGGUAGAGGCCCACCAAGGCGACGAUGGCUAGGGGUUCUGAGAGGAUGGUCCCCCACACUGGUACUGAGACACGGACCAGACUCCUACGGGAGGCAGCAGUAGGGAAUAUUGGGCAAUGGCCGAGAGGCUGACCCAGCCAUGCCGCGUGCAGGAAGAAGGCCUUCUGGGUUGUAAACUGCUUUUACCAGGGAAGAAAACGCGCCUGCGGGCGUAACUGACGGUACCUGGUGAAUAAGCACCGGCUAACUCCGUGCCAGCAGCCGCGGUAAUACGGAGGGUGCAAGCGUUGUCCGGAUUUAUUGGGUUUAAAGGGUGCGUAGGCGGCCCGUUAAGUCAGCGGUGAAAUCCCGGGGCUCAACCCCGGAACUGCCGUUGAUACUGGCGGGCUUGAGUUCGGUCGAGGCGGGCGGAACUGGUGGUGUAGCGGUGAAAUGCAUAGAUACCACCAAGAACCCCGAUUGCGAAGGCAGCUCGCUGGGCCGAAACUGACGCUGAGGCACGAAAGCGUGGGGAGCGAACAGGAUUAGAUACCCUGGUAGUCCACGCCGUAAACGAUGAGUACUCGAUGUUUGCGAUACACGGCAAGCGUCCAAGCGAAAGCG